GGCCUCUCGAAGAAGCUCGGUCCUGAACUCACCCUUGAAUAACUACUUUGUUGCUUUGGCGGGCGCCUCGUGCCAGCGGCUUCGCUGUUGAGUGCCGCAGAGACACACUCUGUUUAGUGAUGCUGAU
This 127-nucleotide ribosomal RNA is filed under the name uncultured Glomus. Its description in RNAcentral is "partial 5.8S ribosomal RNA". Lineage: Eukaryota; Fungi; Glomeromycota; Glomeromycetes; Glomerales; Glomeraceae. The record is from RNAcentral.